RNAcentral lists this ribosomal RNA (428 nucleotides) under Chloroflexota bacterium. RNAcentral's name for it is "Chloroflexi bacterium partial 16S ribosomal RNA". It matches the Rfam family "Bacterial small subunit ribosomal RNA", at positions 355 to 775 of the family's 1533-position model. Lineage: Bacteria; Bacillati; Chloroflexota. The record is from RNAcentral.
UGGGGAAUAUUGCACAAUGGGCGCAAGCCUGAUGCAGCCAUGCCGCGUGUAUGAAGAAGGCCUUCGGGUUGUAAAGUACUUUCAGCGGGGAGGAAGGGAGUAAAGUUAAUACCUUUGCUCAUUGACGUUACCCGCAGAAGAAGCACCGGCUAACUCCGUGCCAGCAGCCGCGGUAAUACGGAGGGUGCAAGCGUUAAUCGGAAUUACUGGGCGUAAAGCGCACGCAGGCGGUUUGUUAAGUCAGAUGUGAAAUCCCCGGGCUCAACCUGGGAACUGCAUCUGAUACUGGCAAGCUUGAGUCUCGUAGAGGGGGGUAGAAUUCCAGGUGUAGCGGUGAAAUGCGUAGAGAUCUGGAGGAAUACCGGUGGCGAAGGCGGCCCCCUGGACGAAGACUGAAGCUCAGGUGCGAAAGCGUGGGGAGCAAACAG